UGUUGAACGUGAAGGAUAACGUUGCGUCAGCAACGGCCCGUAGGGCAAGGCGAAGCCGAGUCAUCCUGCACGACCCGCCA
RNAcentral lists this small RNA (80 nucleotides) under Salmonella enterica subsp. enterica serovar Johannesburg. RNAcentral's name for it is "partial RtT sRNA". It matches the Rfam family "RtT RNA", at positions 46 to 130 of the family's 130-position model. Rfam says of the family: This family represents a bacterial cis-regulatory element known as RtT RNA. The exact function of RtT is unknown although it is thought that it may be involved in changing the cellular response in relation to amino acid starvation. The record is from RNAcentral. Lineage: Bacteria; Pseudomonadati; Pseudomonadota; Gammaproteobacteria; Enterobacterales; Enterobacteriaceae.